AGAUUGAACGCUGGCGGAAUGCUUUACACAUGCAAGUCGAGCGGCAGCGCGGGGGCAACCCUGGCGGCGAGCGGCGAACGGGUGAGUAAUACAUCGGAACAUGUCCAGUUGUGGGGGAUAGCCCGGCGAAAGCCGGAUUAAUACCGCAUGAGCUCGAGAGAGGAAAGCGGGGGACCGUAAGGCCUCGCGCGACUGGGUUGGCCGAUGUCCGAUUAGCUAGUUGGUGGGGUAAAGCCUACCAAGGCAACGACGGGUAG
This 257-nucleotide ribosomal RNA is filed under the name uncultured soil bacterium. RNAcentral describes it as "partial 16S ribosomal RNA". It matches the Rfam family "Bacterial small subunit ribosomal RNA", at positions 26 to 286 of the family's 1533-position model. The record is from RNAcentral.